GAAAGGAUAGCUGCAGACAAUCCUUCAUUUUAACAUGCUUCAUUCCAGUUUCCCAAAAUUGAAGGUGAGAUUUGGGUGAUAUUUAGAGGCCGCGAUGGCACAGUGGGUUAAACGACUAAGCUGCAGAACUUGCUAACCAGUAGGUUGGUGGUUCGAAUCUGCGAGACGGGGUAAGCUCCCAUUGUUAGCCCCAGCUCUGCCAACCUAGCAGUUCGAAAACAUGCAAAUGAGGGUAGAUCAAUAGGUACUGCUUUGGCAGGAAGGUAAUGAUGCUCCAUACAGUCAUGCCAGUCUCUUUAGAAAUUGAGAUGAGCAUUACCCCCCAGAGUCGGACUCGACUAGACUUAAUGUCAAGGGGAAAACUUUACUUUUACCUUUGGGGGAUAUAUUUAUGAUCCUAGCAAUAGUACAAGGAUGGUCAACACAUAGGGCAUCUUAAUAUGGCACAGUUACAAAUCUGGAACUCUGUGUUAUGGGUUCGUAAUUGCAAUGAGAGACGCAGGCCACUAUUUUAUUUAAUUUUAGAAAUCCACAUUAUUUCAGCAACUGAUAUUGCAUUCCCCAGAAAACAAAAAAAGAUGGAGGCCAAAGGGGCCUGAGAAUCCAGCCCCGCUUCCUGAUAGAUGUAUCUGUGAAACAAUCGAUACGGAGCCUCUGCUGUCCACUCCAGAAUGCCCGCUCUUUGUAUUAAUUCUCAAUCUUGGGAAUAAAUAGGACUUGAGGUGAUGCCAUGGAAUUAGAACGGGCCCCCCUCCUUCUAACUGCACAAUGCUACUCCUUUUCGGGGUUGGCUUUCUCUCUCUCUUCCCCUCCGCCCCCCAACCUCACCCCCAACGCACUUUAAUUUAUGCCCAGUCUGUCUCCACCAGUCAUUCAAUACUGUGGAGUCUGCAGAGCCGGAGAUAGUCCUUAAUGAGAAGAGGUUCGGACUUUAUCUCUUUUAUACUCCAACCAUUAUCUUCCUCCAGUCUAUAACCAUGCGGUUCGCCCCCGACAAUAACGCUCGCAGGCAACAAAUGCUGAUGACUUUCCUAUGCAGUCUUCACAAUAAGUCUAUCAAAACAACCUCGGAAAAUUAUGGGCCCUGGUGACAGACAAAUAGAAGCUUGGCUGUGCGUGUGAAUUUACAGCUGGGAUGUUGCGUUCCUUUUAAUUCUUCCGGCUUUCCUUAUCGCUGCUGUUCCUCUUCUGCUUAGAAGAUAACAGUAAUUCUUCUCUAUGCUAUUUUUUUUUUUUUUUGCUCGGGUUCUCUCCCCCCUCUCGUUUCCCUUCCUCCGACUGAGUCGUCCAGUAUGCAUCUAUAUUCAACCUCCAGCUUCUCUGUCAAAGAUUUGCAAUUCCGCAACAAAUUGAAAAUCUCAGGAUUCCAAAGGAUGGAGCCAUGGCAGGAGGAGGCGAUGAUUUACGGUAUCAAAAAUUGCUGACAGGUCUACAGAGAUACUUGCAGGAACACCUCAGCAAGCAAGAGUCCAAAAGUGGCAGGUUAAAUCCCAGAACCUCAAUCAGUGGCUGAUACCAGAUUAGAAACGCCUUCCUAGGUACACAGAAGACUGGACAACUUGGAAGGUGUUAAACAGACUGUGCUCUGGCACCACGAGAUGCAGAGCCAACCUUAAGAAAUGGGGCUACAAAGUGGAGUCCACGACAUGCGAGAGCGGAGAAGAGCAAACCACAGAUCACUUACUACAAAGCAGCCCGAGCCUUGCCACAUGCACAAUGGAGAACUUUCUUACAGCGACACCAAAGGCACUCCAAGUGGUCAGCUUCUGGUCAAAGGAAAUUUAGUAUAAUGCCAAGUUCUAACUUUGUGGUUUUUCUAUACAUUAUAUCUGUAUUCUCAAUUCACUUCUGACACGAUAAAUAAAUAAAAACCCAAUGGGUUUCCAUGGCUGA
Molecule: long non-coding RNA, 1893 nt
Organism: Anolis carolinensis (green anole)
Lineage: Eukaryota; Metazoa; Chordata; Lepidosauria; Squamata; Anolidae
Exons: 3
Source: RefSeq, a predicted model, not a curated record